RNAcentral lists this ribosomal RNA (507 nucleotides) under uncultured delta proteobacterium. RNAcentral's name for it is "bacterial SSU rRNA". It matches the Rfam family "Bacterial small subunit ribosomal RNA", at positions 29 to 507 of the family's 1533-position model. The record is from RNAcentral. Lineage: Bacteria; Deltaproteobacteria.
AAUGAACGCUGGCGGCGUGCUUAACACAUGCAAGUCGCACGAGAACGCUUCAGCUUGCUGAAGCAAGUAAAGUGGCGCACGGGUGAGUAACGCGUGGGUAAUCUACCCUUGAAUUGGGGAUAACCCGCCGAAAGGCGGGCUAAUACCGAAUGACAUCUUGAAAACUUAUGCUUUCAGGAUCAAAGGUGGCCUCUACAUGUAAGCUAUUGUUUGGGGAUGAGCCCGCGUACCAUUAGCUUGUUGGUAGGGUAAUGGCCUACCAAGGCUACGAUGGUUAGCUGGUCUGAGAGGAUGAUCAGCCACACUGGAACUGACACACGGUCCAGACUCCUACGGGAGGCAGCAGUGAGGAAUUUUGCGCAAUGGGGGAAACCCUGACGCAGCAACGCCGCGUGAGUGAUGAAGGCUUUCGGGUCGUAAAGCUCUGUCAAGUGGGAAGAAACCAUAUAGUAUUAAUACUGCUAUAUGUUGACGGUACCACUGAAGGAAGCACCGGCUAACUCCGUG